UAAGACGGAGGAGGCUAGCGUUGUUCGGAAUUACUGGGCGUAAAGCGCGCGCGGGCGGUUAUGCAAGUCAGGGGUGAAAGCCCGAGGCUCAACCUCGGAACGGCCUUUGCGACUGCAUGACUGGAGACCGGGAGAGGAGAGUGGAAUUCCCAGUGUAGAGGUGAAAUUCGUAGAUAUUGGGAAGAACACCAGUGGCGAAGGCGGCUCUCUGGCCCGGACCUGACGCUGAGGCGCGAAAGCGUGGGGAGCAAACAGGAUUAGAUACCCUGGUAGUCCACGCUGUAAACGAUGGAUGCUAGACGUUGGGGGGCUUGCCCUUCGGUGUCGCAGCUAACGCGAUAAGCAUCCCGCCUGGGGAGUACGGCCGCAAGGUUA
This 375-nucleotide ribosomal RNA is filed under the name uncultured bacterium. RNAcentral's name for it is "bacterial SSU rRNA". It matches the Rfam family "Bacterial small subunit ribosomal RNA", at positions 521 to 896 of the family's 1533-position model. The record is from RNAcentral.